This 508-nucleotide ribosomal RNA is filed under the name Limosilactobacillus vaginalis. RNAcentral describes it as "bacterial SSU rRNA". It matches the Rfam family "Bacterial small subunit ribosomal RNA", at positions 28 to 492 of the family's 1533-position model. The record is from RNAcentral. Lineage: Bacteria; Bacillati; Bacillota; Bacilli; Lactobacillales; Lactobacillaceae.
GAUGAACGCCGGCGGUGUGCCUAAUACAUGCAAGUCGAGCGCACUGGCCCAACUGAUAUGAAGUGCUUGCACUGAAUUGACGUUAGAUUACCAGUGAGCGGCGGACGGGUGAGUAACACGUGGGCAACCUGCCUUGAAGCGGGGGAUAACAUCUGGAAACAGGUGCUAAUACCGCAUAACAACGAAAACCACAUGGUUUUCGUUUCAAAGAUGGUUUCGGCUAUCACUUCAGGAUGGGCCCGCGGUGCAUUAGCUAGUUGGUAAGGUAACGGCUUACCAAGGCAAUGAUGCAUAGCCGAGUUGAGAGACUGAUCGGCCACAAUGGAACUGAGACACGGUCCAUACUCCUACGGGAGGCAGCAGUAGGGAAUCUUCCACAAUGGGCGCAAGCCUGAUGGAGCAACACCGCGUGAGUGAAGAAGGGUUUCGGCUCGUAAAGCUCUGUUGUUGGAGAAGAACGUGCGUGAGAGUAACUGUUCACGCAGUGACGGUAUCCAACCAGAAAGUC